RNAcentral lists this ribosomal RNA (181 nucleotides) under uncultured soil bacterium. RNAcentral describes it as "partial 16S ribosomal RNA". It matches the Rfam family "Bacterial small subunit ribosomal RNA", at positions 380 to 554 of the family's 1533-position model. The record is from RNAcentral.
AGCCUGAUCCAGCAAUGCCGCGUGAGUGAAGAAGGCCUUCGGGUUGUAAAGCUCUUUUGUCAGGGAAGAAACGGUGAAGCUAAUAUCUUUUGCUAAUGACGGUACCUGAAGAAUAAGCACCGGCUAACUACGUGCCAGCAGCCGCGGUAAUACGUAGGGUGCAAGCGUUAAUCGGAAUUAC